RNAcentral lists this long non-coding RNA (130 nucleotides) under Felis catus (domestic cat). RNAcentral's name for it is "lncRNA (ENSFCAG00000053811.1)". Lineage: Eukaryota; Metazoa; Chordata; Mammalia; Carnivora; Felidae. The record is from RNAcentral.
AAUUAUUAAUCUAGCCUUAUUCAGACUGAUUUUUCCACUGAUUUCUAACAAGAUCCUUGUCUCAGAAUGGAAAUCACUGGAGACAACAUCAAGUUCAAUUCAGAGCAAAUGUAACAAUUUAGAGGCAACU